AUGGCUAAAAACCACAACGCGUUUCGCCCUUAGGCUUUAUCAAGUGAUCUCCACUUGAUAAAGCCUAAGGGCGAAAUGCGUUGUGGUUUUUUUAAACUAUAUUGUUUUAA
This 110-nucleotide microRNA precursor is filed under the name Pelobates cultripes (western spadefoot toad). Lineage: Eukaryota; Metazoa; Chordata; Amphibia; Anura; Pelobatidae. The record is from RNAcentral.